UCUUCACCUCAAACAACAUUGAUGAUAGACACUACAUGAUCCUUAUAAUUCUUUCUCGACUUCAAAGAUCAGCUUGUGAAGCUUCUCCGAACAAUGCGACCGAACUGUAUUCGCGGACAUGUUCUUUCAGUGGGCUACUGGAGCUGCUGAGAAGUUCAGUGUACCAAGACUUCUGUUCCACGGCACUAGCUACUUCUCUCUAUGCUCUGAUUGUUCAUCAGAGUGCAUAAACCAAAAAAAAAGAGAGUUAGAGAAUAUUAUUAUAGAUGUUUUAAAAUGAAAGUGAAUUUUUUUAUAAAAAUGAUUUUAACAACAGUUUUACUUUUACAUCUCUCUGUUCUUAAUUUAUAAAAUUAUAACUAUUUUUAAAUAAUAUUUUAAUAUUUUAUUUUUAUCAUUUUCGAUUUUAAAAAAUCAAGUAGCUUAAAUUUAUCAUAAACUUAUAUUUAUCUUCAACAAGAAUAUAUAUUUAUCUCAUAGUAAUAUUAAUACUUAUUAUAUUUUCGAAUUUUACUUUAUGUAUUUGUAAAAUAUUUAAACAUAGGGUAAAAUUAUCUUAUCAUAUACUACAAGAUAAGAUAAUCUCAAAAAACGAAAAAAAAAUAUUUUCAAAUUUAAAAUAGUAAAUAUGAUAUAUUCGUAAUUAUCCGUAUGAUGCCGACUAUAUGAAUACAGUCCAGAUGGUAUUAGUGUAUUUAAACCUAGGAUGACGAAGUGUUUGUUAUAAAUAGACCAAUCAUCCAAACCUUACGUAACCAAAUCAAUCAUGUAUAUUUACAUAAAUCCGGAUGUGGAACCAGAACUGGAAACAAUAUGUCUGUUUCUUAAGGAUGCAACAAUGAGUUUAUAUCAAAACUUGUUAAAUCUUUCCAGCUUUAUCUACAAAUCAUUGCCUACUUUUGCUCCGACUCCAACCACCACCGCCGCCGCUGUGAUCUAGCGAACCAUACCUCUCACCGGUGUGAAAAAAAGGCGUUUGUUCCUUUUUUUUUUUUUUUUUUGUUCUUUUUAAUUGACUUAUUGUUGCUUUUAGAUUUAAUUAUUUAAUAAAGCGGUAGUUUCAAUAAACUAUUCUUAGUUUAAGUUCUUGGCAAACAUCGAAUGGUAUGAUAUUUGAUCAUGGUUUUGAUUUAAAGUUGCAAAGUUUUUGUUCGUCUCCCUCAUAUAGACUGUUUUGUUGAGCAGCUCUAUUAUGUUUCAAAUCCAAACCCUUGGCUUUUUUAAUUACUAAUUUUCAGUACCCAGACCUUGUUUUGCCAUUUGUUACUAGUCUUGAAUGUCUUGUUAUUUCAUUAUUGAUUAAGGCUAAACUCAAUCUGAUUACAAAGGGUAGAGCUCGUGGAUCUUUCUAACAAAAAGAAAGUUUCAGAGAUCGAACGCAAUUUUUUAUUGUGGUAUUGUCCCUAACUAUCCAAGUUAUUUUGAUAUGCCGAUUAUAUGAAUAGGUAUAGUUCGGAUAUGAUUGGAGUGAUUACUACACCAAAAUAGAAUCAGGAUAACAAAACAGUUUUGUUAUAAAUAGACAAGUCUACAACAACUAUUAAUUAUAUUCAGAGGUUCGCCAUCAUGGUUCUUCUUCAUAUUCUCCUCAUGUACCAACAUCAAAUAUCGGUACGGAUGGUUAUACACUCAAACAAUACAGCACCGCUCCCAUGUCAUCCCAUGUUGGUCCGUGAUAACGGGAGUAGCUCCACAUGGCGAGAAGCCUCUAAGAUAAAAGUGGCUAGGGAAGAAUCCCGUUGCGUGCAAUUGUUGAUGGGAAGAUAUACGUGAUGGGAGGUUGCAAGGCAGAUGAAACCAAGAAUUGGGCCGAGGUGUUCGACCCAAAUACGCAAACGUGGGAAUCUUUACAUGACCCUGGCCCUAGUCUCCAAAGUUCUUUCCACCAUCUACAAACAACCCAGAAGCUUGGUCGUCUGUACCAGAACCAGAUGCUUUGUGUCGCAACUCCCUAUUAUGAAGUGCCGACCUGACUUCCUCCAAACUCAUUGUAUCUUUAAUCCUUAUGACUGACUGAACAAAGUUCUCAUAGGAGUUUGGUUUUGAUACCAACAAAAUCAGUGUCGCAUCCUCAUCCUCCAUCAGAUCCAACAAGAUGAAAUUUAGACUGUCAAGAUGAUCUUGGAGUUGUGUUGCAUCCUCAGAGCGAAAAGACGUUGUUUCAGAAGUAACUUCUUAGUCAGAGACUUCGUCAUGUAUAUUCUCUAACUUCAACCACAAAUCAGCUGCAUCAUCAACACCAGAAACUUCGAUGAUGAUUUCAUCUGCCAGACACAACAAAACUGUUUAAUACACCUUCUUACACCUUCUCUUCAGUAACCUCCAUCGCAGCAGUAGCAUGUUCAACUUUUUUUCCUGACAACUGUGCCCAAAGACCUUGCUUCAGCAAGGCCUUCAUCUUGAUUUGUCAGAGACUGAAACUGUUCCUUCCAGUAAACUUGUCGAUCUUCAUAUUCAACUUAGACAUCUUCUCACCAGAUUCAAUCCGAAACUCUGAUACCAGUUUGUUGUGACAAAUGUGAGAAGAUGGAGAUUAACAGAUGAAUAAACAAUAAAGAAAAAUUUAACGUGGUUCACCCCUAACAGCUACGUCCACGGGAAAAUAAAAAUUUAUUGAUGGAUGAAUUACAGAGAUCUUGUCCACAAGAAAAUCAGAUCUGAUUUUUCUACGGCUGCUUACUAGGUUUAGAAAAGGCAGAAGAUAUAUAUAAUUGUAUCCCAUAAAACCCUAGAACUAGUGGGUCUCAAAAGAAUAAGACCCAACAGAUUCAAAAUAUUAUUCAACAGAUAUGAGAAGCGCUUGAAACUGAAUUCAACACAUCCCUAAGAAAGAUAUGGACAUAAAGGUCAAAGACUCUUUAUUGAGAUGAAAAAAAAACAAGAUAACAACAAAACUUGAUUUUUUCUGUCCUUACCAGAUUAAUGUUGAUCAGAUACUCUGUAUCAUCAAUGUGCUCUUUCAGCUGCAAACACAAAAUCAUAAUCAAAAUGAUGAAAACAAAAAGAAGAACAUGUUUUUGGACAGCAAGUAAAACGCUUUGUUCUUUAAGACUUUAACUAGUGCCAAGACCAACGUACAAUAUAUCAAGCCACGUGUUAAAAAAAGUCAAACCUAUUCGAAGGAGCACAGUUUCUAAAAUAGACCAUGCCACAGGAGAUCAGCUUCUAAAGUGGUAACAAACUAACAAAAAAAAAACAGAUAAGAGAAGCCGACAUGGCGCCAAACGCAGCCAAUGGGUUAGUUAAGAGUUCCGAACAUUACGACACACCUUUCGUUCUGUUAUCCCCCUAAACAGACAAGGAACAGAACCAAACCCUAGAUCCCCCUUUUCUUCAUCUUAGUUUUGUCUAAGAAAAAUUCACAACUUAUCCAAGUGUGAAGAUGAAUCAUCACUGAAUCAAGAUCGUUUUAAACUAAAAUCACGGUCUAGGUUCGGUCUGAUCAAAUCAUCUUCCAGGUUUGUUAUGGGGUCAGAACAUGAUCACGAUGAAAACAAACAAGUUUCAGAAGAACCUUUAUUAGAAGAUGAAAACCGAGAUGGUGAGCAUAAAAAGAUCCUUUCAGAAGAUAUUGUAAUCAUCCACUCAGAAACACAUUCAAGAUCCUCCUCCUCAUCAUCUUCAUCUUCUUCGUAUUCAUCACCACCAAAACAUCUACCAGAGACAGAUUCACCUCCUGUUCAAGUAAUGGACAGGGAUGAUAAUAGCAACUAUGACCCUGGCAGGAUCCCAUCUUCGGUUUUCGAGACAAGCAAAUCGAAUUUGCAAGCUGAUUGGAGCUGCGCUUCGAAUGAAUCUCUCUUUAGUAUUCAUAUAGGGAGAAACAGUUUCACUGUUGAUGCCAUGAAAUCAGGUGAGCUCUACAAAUCAGGAGAGUUGCUAGCUUAUAGUCCUGAGCUUCCUAUGCCGCCACCACCAGGAAAAGAAUCAGACCCUUUAGUCGAGUCAUCGGCGAAAGUUGUUGAUUCAGAUGAUGAUGAGAAAGAACAGCCUCCCGCUGUUUCUUGGAAAACUCCUACAAAGUCUUACCGUUCUAACCGGAGCUCAAACAGCACGCAUUCCUUCUCUUUCCCCAUUUUAGCAGGAGCUGCAAGUGAUUCAGCAAGUGUAGAAACAGGGGAAAAGAAGAAACAAGAAAAGCAAUCAGAAGAGACAACAAAACAACCAGCAGAAGUAGAAAACCAAAAGAAUUCAACAAUGUGUGGUUGGUUCUCAUGGUUUCCUUCAUGUCCUUCGUGUUGUUCUUUACGUUCUCCAUGUUCUUGAAUUCGUUUUUUUGCUUUGUGUGUGUGUUUACGGAUUAGUUGUGACCCUCUUAACCGGUUGAGUAAACCAGUUAAAUGGAAAUCAUGUUAAGUCAUGUGUUAACAUAAGUAAGUUAGGUUAACUAUUAAUGAAUCAAAUGGUUUAGGUUGUUGUAAGAGAGCAAGGUGGACUCUCGCAGGUCUAUUGAAAAGUGUUAAUUAAUAUGCCAAGAGCUUGGAAACUUUGUGUGGUUAUGUGAGGUUGGUUCCAUAAAGCAUAACUCUAGUUUCUAGCCUGAGGCUGAGCAUUGUCAUGAGUCUCAUGACCGUUGACCAGUGGGAUCACCGUCGUCUCUCAGACCUGUUUCUCAAUGAGCCUUCAUUAAAACCGUUGCCCCGAGUUCUAGUUGUCUCCAGUCUCAUUCAUAUUGUAUCCAAUGUUUCGCGCAGAAUAUCUCCUGUCGUUUGCAUUGUUGUUGGUUGCAGAAGAAUUCAAAAACCAAAACUCAAUUAGGAAUUUAUGCUGUUAUUCAUGAAAUUAUCAUCGAUAGAUGCUCUUCGGUUUUCGAUUCUGAUUCAAGAUCCCUUGUGAGCCUAUAGCUGCAUUCCAAUAUCAAAAAGAAAAAAAAAACAAGAACUUUGAAUAACUGAGAGUCUGAUGAGCAAAAACAUUUUUUAAAACCAUUUCGAAACUACUCUACACACACAUUUUUAAAGAGGUUUAACUCAAAAACAAGAUUUGAGAAUUUUCUAGUUACUUUUUACUUUUUUAGUGUAUUCAUCAUAUCUGCAGCUUUUGGAAAGUAUCAGUUAACCCAGUUAUCAUAGCCGAGUGAGUAAUGGAAUGAUUGGAGCUGUUUUCGUGUUUGUGGGCCAAAAAAUUAAAUAAGCCCCCGGCGAGGAUCGAACUCACGACCUUUCGCUUACGAAGCGAACGCAAUACCACUAUGCUACGGAGGCAAUUUGUCCUGUGUCUGAAACGUCUCUUUCAAAAAAUGUAAAUAUGCAUACAGACCAAAGAAGCUUCGUUCAAACUUUCGACGGGAAGGAGACGAGAGAGAGAGAGACACCGCCGGAGAUAUGUGCGGCGUUCGUAUCGAGCUCUCGACACCUCUCUUAGAACCUCGUUUCGAACAAUUCUCUGUUGAAGAUUUGAAUCCUGAUAGUGUAGGCGAAAAGAAGAUUCUUCUUCAACCAACAAUCUGUGACUCUCUCUGUUCUUGAGGCAUUUUUCACGGAGACAAAGAAGUUGUCCCAGUAGCUGUUCUAUUCUCUGGUGGAUUAGAUUCAGUGAUUCUAGCUGCUCUAUUGGAUCAGUGCCUUUAUCUAAAAUAUGAAGUUGAUCUACUUAAUGUCAGUUUUGAUGGUGCAAAUGCUCCUGAAAGGUUGCACCGUUGAGAAGGUUUUAACUUUAAAAACCUUGAUGUAUAGGUCUAUUACUAUUCUAUCCACUUUCUCCUUCUGUGAAUGCAAACGUUCUUGCAGGUGGAAACUUGUCAAAACUAGCAUUCGGGACAAAGCGUGUCAUGUCACUCAUAAAUCCUGCGGACACUUACAUGAUAAACUUCAAAGUCUUAAGGAUUUUUUUUUUACAUUCUUCUAAACUUGAUGACAACUUUGCAAUAUGUUUUGCAAUGUUCUAGGGUCUUAACAUUGGAACAGCACUUUGGCUUGCUGGUCGCGGUGAUGGUUGGAUUCACGAAGAAAGUGAAUAUCAAGGAGUAGAAGAAAAUAGCCAACGCAUUAGAUAUAAGUCUGAGGCUAGAGUUCUGCUUAUUGGCGCUGGUGCUGAUGAACAAUGUGCUGGUUAUGGUAGGCACAGAACAAAAUAUAGAAACGGGAGUUGGGUUGCGUUGGACCAAGAAAUGAAAUUGGAUAUGCAGAGGAUUUGGAAAAGAAACUUAGGUCGAGAUGAUCGAUGCAUUGCAGAUAAUGGUAAAGAGUGUAGAGGCGCGAUUCCCAUUCUUGGAUGAAGACGUGAUAAAGACUCUCCUUGACAUUCCCUUGUAGGAAAUAGCUGAUCUUGAGCAACCAAGUGGAAAGGGAGACAAGAAGAUUCUUAGACAGGCUGCGAAGUUGCAAGAGAGCAAUACAGGUAAAGAAUAGGUUUCAAGAGAUUUUGGAUUCAAACCAGUAAAAAGUUGAAAGUUAAAAGUUGAAAGAAGUAACGGUGCCGCAAACCAGGCCUCUGCUGGGAGCGUGAGAUUCCACGCAGCAUGAGACUGAAAAGACUCAUUAUAUCUAUGAUCCCUAGCCUAGACAGACAACCUAUUGUUAGUUAGAUCACAUUUUUUGUGUUGUAUUGUAUACAUACAAACAGUGCCCUGCAAAAGUUUUAGGGGGCCUAAGGCAAAAACAAUAAAUGGUUUAUUCAAUCUUUUCUUGUGUAUGUUUACAAAAAAAAAAGUUAAAUGGUGGAUAUUGUUAAUGUGUUUAUUAUAAUUUAGAGUCUAAAAAGAGAACUUAAACUAAAACAUAGAAAAGUUAAACCCUAGCUGCUAUCCACGCUGCAUUCUGUCCAAGAAUAGACAGAAUCUAUCCAAAAAAACAUACACCCCAACUGCUUUUCCAAUCGCAAUCCCAGUUCCAAAAACGCUUAACGCCCAGAAUGCAAACUCUAUUCUCUUGAGACGCUCAGUUUUCAAUCAUGAACGUUAAGGUGAGGGUUCAUGAUAUGAUAUGUAGAUUUGUAUUAUAUAAUAUGGUUUUGUAAGCUUAUAUUUUUAAGUUUAUGAAAUAGUGAUUGACGUGUUUAGUAAAAUAAAUGAGUCGUGAUUAGUGAAAAUGUGGUGUUAUGAGGAAAUGAAAUUAUGCUAUGUACAUAGCAAUCCUUCUAAAGCCCAACCGCCUGACGCGACGAGCCGAUACUGGUGUAAGGUGACGGCCCCAAUAUCAUAUGGUUUUAGAUUGAGGACAAAGACAUAGCGAUUCCGUUAAAGCCCAUAAACCGGUUGACGAGCAUGAUUUUUGAAGUGACGACUAGCUCUCUUGUCAUGUGCAAUUUGCAAAGUGUGUUAAUUUGUGAAAGAUGAUUGUUAAUGUGAUAAGAAAUAUUUGAGAUAUUCUAAUUAUAAGAUUCCGUUGUGUAAAUGAUAGAUGGUAUGAUGCAUGACUACUUCUAUAUUUAUUAUAUUUGGUUGUUCAAUUAUAUUGUUGUAUGGUAUGAUUUGAUGCGUACUUCUAAUUUGGAUUUCUGGUUCUCUUAGAUGUUCCCUUAUGAUCUGGUUCACUUGGUUCUUCAUUUGUAGGUUCGCAUCAGAUAAAAAUAAAUUGAUGAUUUGCUCUCUCACGUGUUUAUUCUUGCAACAACAUUCAAUUUUGUUAGUUACCUACUAUAGAAUUUCUUUUUUGUAACUUACUAAUCUACUAUAGUUUGUUUGUUUGUUUCUGUUUUGUUUAGCGAAUAUUCUUUGAUGAAACCGGAAGUUUAUUUAAACUUAAUUUAGUGGCAUUAAUUAAAGGGGGAAAUUUACCUCUAUUUUGGUUCAAACUAUACACCCACUUUAGGUUAUUGAUGUUUCCUAAAACUCUUAAAGUUUAGCUAGCUAAAUAUUGCAAUUUGAAAGAUGCGUCAUGGCCUACUAAGACAAGUAAGUAGUAGAACCUACAGCUGGUGUACCUUUUUUUUUGUAACUUAAAACAGCUGGUGUAACUUGUUAUCUUUCUAAUAUCAAGAUUUUAUUUUUUUAAACUUAGUAAUAUCAA
Molecule: RNA transcript, 7949 nt
Organism: Brassica rapa (field mustard)
Lineage: Eukaryota; Viridiplantae; Streptophyta; Magnoliopsida; Brassicales; Brassicaceae
Gene name: asparagine synthetase domain-containing protein 1
Source: RefSeq, a predicted model, not a curated record